AAUUUUUGACAAUGGGGGCAACCCUGAUCCAGCCAUCCCGCGUGUGCGAUGAAUGCCUUCGGGUUGUAAAGCACUAUUGUCAGGGAAGAAAAGGCUCUGGCUAAUACCUCGAGCUGCUGACGGUACCUGCAGAAUAAGCACCUGAUAACUACGUGCCAGCAGCCGCGGUAAUACGUAGGGUGCAAGCGUUAAUCGGAAUUACUGGGCGUAAAGCGUGCGCAGGCGGUUCGGCAAGAAGGAUGUGAAAUCCCAGGGCUUAACCUUGGAACUGCAUUCUUAACUGCCGGGCUAGAGUAUGUCAGAGGGGGGUAGAAUUCCGCGUGUAGCAGUGAAAUGCGUAGAGAUGCGGAGGAAUACCGAUGGCGAAGGCAGCCCCCUAGGAUAAUACUGACGCUCAUGCACGAAAGCGUGGGGAGCAAAC
This 421-nucleotide ribosomal RNA is filed under the name uncultured bacterium. RNAcentral describes it as "partial 16S ribosomal RNA". It matches the Rfam family "Bacterial small subunit ribosomal RNA", at positions 360 to 773 of the family's 1533-position model. The record is from RNAcentral.